AAAGUGGUGUGUGUAGUGAUCAACCAUGGUGAUCAGUCCGGCUCAGCUGCUUAACAUUAUGGAGGAUCUGAACUCAGACGAGUUGAAGAGAUUUCAGUGGUACCUGACUCAGGGUAUGGGGAAUGACUAUCCUCCCAUCCCAAAGAGCUGGCUGGAAAAUGGAGACAGGAUGGAGACAGUGGAUAAGAUGGUGCAGAGUUACAGACUGGACGGUGCUGUGAAAAUCACUCUGAAGAUCCUGAAGAAGAUGAACCAGAAUAGUCUCGCUGAGAAGUUAAAUAAAUACAUAUAGGAGCUAGAGAGAAGAGGCUCAGUGGCUCUGCUGACCAAGCUGAUGAAUAAGGAUAAAGCUAAAGGGAGAUUCUACCUGGCACUGUCAGAGGACCUGGAGAAGCAGACAACAUCCUGAAAGAUGACAUGCAUACAGCAAGAUUAAAGGGUUGUUGUUCUGAAUUCAACACAAGCCAACCAAGAAUGAGCAAGAAUAUUUUAAUUUGCCUUGCCAUUUCAAACAAAAGGACAUUACUGUAUACUAAUAAGAUGAUCCAGCAGGGGUUGUUAUAAGACAAACUUAAGACUAACAAUAUUGUUUGGACCCCAGGAAGAGCAGCAGCUAAUUAGGGAUCAUAAUAAAUACUAAAUUGUAUAAUGUAUGGACAGCAAACACAGUCGAAAAUGCAUUUCUUUUUUUGCCUUCACAUGUACAUGGCUGAUUGACAAGAUUAGGCCUAGUACUGGACUGUUGUGGGCUGUAUUGCAUGGAAAGAUAGCACAUUAUUUACAUUGGUUUGGUUUACAGUACACUGCUCCUAAAUAUCUAGCUAUUCAAUGUCACAUUUUAAGCACAUCUUGUAUAAUUUUAAUACACUUCCUGUUGAGUGUAAAGAAAUAUCUACAAGACAUUAAAUUCUGAAAAUAAUUUGGAGUCAUGUGGGACACUCAACUGAGAAUAUAGGUAUCUUUACUUCAAGUAUGACUAAUUGUACAGCAAAUCCUUCGCAACAUUUUCUUGAUACUUGUGAGCCUAAUAAAUUCAAAAGGAAUACA
Salmo salar (Atlantic salmon) is the source of this 1047-nucleotide non-coding RNA. Lineage: Eukaryota; Metazoa; Chordata; Actinopteri; Salmoniformes; Salmonidae. The record is from RefSeq and is a predicted model, not a curated record.